CCCGCAACGAGCGCAACCCUUAUCCUUUGUUGCCAGCGGUUAGGCCGGGAACUCAAAGGAGACUGCCAGUGAUAAACUGGAGGAAGGUGGGGAUGACGUCAAGUCAUCAUGGCCCUUACGAGUAGGGCUACACACGUGCUACAAUGGCGCAUACAAAGAGAAGCGACCUCGCGAGAGCAAGCGGACCUCAUAAAGUGCGUCGUAGUCCGGAUUGGAGUCUGCAACUCGACUCCAUGAAGUCGGAAUCGCUAGUAAUCGUAGAUCAGAAUGCUACGGUGAAUACGUU
Molecule: ribosomal RNA, 286 nt
Filed under: Enterobacter sp. October_KB1F1
Lineage: Bacteria; Pseudomonadati; Pseudomonadota; Gammaproteobacteria; Enterobacterales; Enterobacteriaceae
Description: partial 16S ribosomal RNA
Rfam family: Bacterial small subunit ribosomal RNA
Source: RNAcentral